GGGACACGUGGUAUCCUGUCUGAAUAUGGGGGGACCAUCCUCCAAGGCUAAAUACUCCUGACUGACCGAUAGUGAACCAGUACCGUGAGGGAAAGGCGAAAAGAACCCCGGCGAGGGGAGUGAAAAAGAACCUGAAACCGUGUACGUACAAGCAGUGGGAGCACGCUUAGGCGUGUGACUGCGUACCUUUUGUAUAAUGGGUCAGCGACUUAUAUUCUGUAGCAAGGUUAACCGAAUAGGGGAGCCGAAGGGAAACCGAGUCUUAACUGGGCGUUAAGUUGCAGGGUAUAGACCCGAAACCCGGUGAUCUAGCCAUGGGCAGGUUGAAGGUUGGGUAACACUAACUGGAGGACCGAACCGACUAAUGUUGAAAAAUUAGCGGAUGACUUGUGGCUGGGGGUGAAAGGCCAAUCAAACCGGGAGAUAGCUGGUUCUCCCCGAAAGCUAUUUAGGUAGCGCCUCGUGAAUUCAUCUCCGGGGGUAGAGCACUGUUUCGGCAAGGGGGUCAUCCCGACUUACCAACCCGAUGCAAACUGCGAAUACCGGAGAAUGUUAUCACGGGAGACACACGGCGGGUGCUAACGUCCGUCGUGAAGAGGGAAACAACCCAGACCGCCAGCUAAGGUCCCAAAGUCAUGGUUAAGUGGGAAACGAUGUGGGAAGGCCCAGACAGCCAGGAUGUUGGCUUAGAAGCAGCCAUCAUUUAAAGAAAGCGUAAUAGCUCACUGGUCGAGUCGGCCUGCGCGGAAGAUGUAACGGGGCUAAACCAUGCACCGAAGCUGCGGCAGCGACGCUUAUGCGUUGUUGGGUAGGGGAGCGUUCUGUAAGCCUGCGAAGGUGUGCUGUGAGGCAUGCUGGAGGUAUCAGAAGUGCGAAUGCUGACAUAAGUAACGAUAAAGCGGGUGAAAAGCCCGCUCGCCGGAAGACCAAGGGUUCCUGUCCAACGUUAAUCGGGGCAGGGUGAGUCGACCCCUAAGGCGAGGCCGAAAGGCGUAGUCGAUGGGAAACAGGUUAAUAUUCCUGUACUUGGUGUUACUGCGAAGGGGGGACGGAGAAGGCUAUGUUGGCCGGGCGACGGUUGUCCCGGUUUAAGCGUGUAGGCUGGUUUUCCAGGCAAAUCCGGAAAAUCAAGGCUGAGGCGUGAUGACGAGGCACUACGGUGCUGAAGCAACAAAUGCCCUGCUUCCAGGAAAAGCCUCUAAGCAUCAGGUAACAUCAAAUCGUACCCCAAACCGACACAGGUGGUCAGGUAGAGAAUACCAAGGCGCUUGAGAGAACUCGGGUGAAGGAACUAGGCAAAAUGGUGCCGUAACUUCGGGAGAAGGCACGCUGAUAUGUAGGUGAAGUGAUUUACUCAUGGAGCUGAAA
This 1368-nucleotide ribosomal RNA is filed under the name Escherichia coli. RNAcentral's name for it is "partial 23S ribosomal RNA". It matches the Rfam family "Bacterial large subunit ribosomal RNA", at positions 419 to 1782 of the family's 2925-position model. The record is from RNAcentral. Lineage: Bacteria; Pseudomonadati; Pseudomonadota; Gammaproteobacteria; Enterobacterales; Enterobacteriaceae.